UUCAACUGUGACAAAGCCCUUUAAACAAGCUUCAGCUUGCAAGAAAUCAGCUAUAGAGCUGUUCUUUACAAGCUAGCAUGUGAUUCCCAGUUCUAAGAUUUCCUUCUCUUGUUGCCACUCCCAUACAACAACAAAAAAACAAGAUGCAAACUUCAUUAUUAUGGGGAGUCCAUUUAACAUUGUAGAAUCAGUACAUAGAUGAUCUUCUAUGGAUAAUGAAGAAGAGGAGGGAAAAUUUCAGGGUGUAUUGCCUUUGGAAUUUCAAAGAACUCUGAAACAACGCCGUUGUUCGACGCAACACAUCUGGGGCGGGGGAGGCGGCAUCGGAGAAAUCGUAGAUGAAAGAAGAACAAAUAAUCACGGGGAAACGAAGAGAUAACACCAUCCAUAAAAGUUGCCAUAUGUGAGUGAGGAUCAUUAAUGUUUUGGUAGAUGCUUUUACAUGCAUGAUGUUUUCUCGGACAGGAAAGGAUUUAUUGGCUCAAGACAAGGGAGCAUUACUUUGGAGCAGUGCAAGUAGUGAAGUUACUUCUGCUAGCAUGUUGUUAUUGACUAAGAGGCUGAUGUAUCUGUGAAGAUUUUUCCUCGGGGUUGCACGUGGCUUCCUUGUGUGGUACGAGAAGAAGAUAAAGUGGCUGUGAAAUCGGCCGAAGAGACUCAGCAAGUCAUGGUGGGGUGUUUGGGAAGCAUCUCAAGCCUGGAUAGAUAAUAUAUUCUUCGUUCUUGGCCCCCUUGAAGGAUGUAAGAUUAGUAGUGGCAUUGUGCAAUGUGAAGCUUUUAGUUACAAUCAGUAUAUCUGGGGAAUGAGUGAAUAUUUUGUUUUCUGUGUUGAGUGCACUUUUUGUGGUUCUCGUGCCUGCAUUUAGCAGGGGAAAAUUUCUAUUUUGAUGCGUUAAAAAUUGUAAUCAUGCUGCUUCAACUCUACCAGAAUUAAUUUGUUGUUUAUACUCUUUUAUAUAUGUUGU
Non-coding RNA from Nicotiana tabacum (common tobacco), 965 nucleotides. NCBI's taxonomy places the organism in Eukaryota, Viridiplantae, Streptophyta, Magnoliopsida, Solanales, Solanaceae. The record is from RefSeq and is a predicted model, not a curated record.